UAAGAAGUGGGAGGAAGUGGAAGCAGAGGCUCGAGCCCGUGUCGUCUCCUAGGGAGGUGACCCCGUUGCAGAGAUGGUCGUCCUAAGCCGGUGCACGGUUCAGUUCGGCAAGUACCGGGUACAGAUCUUCAAGUGGAUGAUGGAGAACGACGUGGGCUACAUGAUGCACCUGGUAACGGUGCAUCAGAAGGAGAGGGAGCGAGAGCGCAGUGUUUCCCAGCAUCCCCUGAUGGCCAACAAGGACGCCUUGACUCGCACGCCUAUCCGGCCUUCGCUGAGAUGGUCAGGUUCAACCGGGCACAUGAGGAAGCUAAAGUCCUGUCCUCCCAGCCAGGCCAGGAGGGCAAGGCCCUUGUCGGCAUUGGGAAGUACAAGUGGGACACGCUGCAGGACCUGUAUGAGGCUACGGGUGCAGACAGGAUAAAAUAUGUCAGGAGCAUGAGGACGCAGACACCCCGUUAUCCUGGGAGUGCGAUGGCAGCCUUGAUUGAUUACAUUCAGCGCAGAGACCAGGAGGGGGUAGCUGCUGUGGCCGGGCACGCCGCAGCCAACACCAUCCCCGCCAGUAACACCCGGCCCAACAGUGCGGCUUACGCCUCUUGGUCCUGCGAUCUCUGCGUUCCUUUCAAGGCGCUCUCUCGCCCCAGGUGAACUGCAGGCGAAGAUGAAGAAACUCAUUGCUUCUCAGCCUGCAGUUCAAGGGGUGUCUUUCCCUCGACCAGCACUGCCACCAACCGAUAUAUCAGACGCAGAGCUGGUCAAAGCAGCUGCUGACAUAGACACAUCCGUAUCCCUACAGCUCCACCCAUCGCUCCCUCGGCCUCUGCCUCCAAAUGACCGAGCCCCGGUCCCUGCCCCGGUUCCUGACCCGGCCCCUGCUCCUGCCCUACUAGGGCGGAGCGAAGAGGAGGAUUUGCCCCGGCAGUCCUUCCUGCCUCCAAGGCCCGCCUCAGAAAGUGCUGAGCUGCUGCUUCCAGAGAGUUGGCGUUCAUCUCUCACCAAGGAGCAGCAGCAGUGGAUCGGCCGCACGCUGUUCACCAGGAACAGCUUUGGGAGGUCGACACUCACCACUGACCUGGUCACGUGGUGGAACCCUCCCCAACCACGGCCGAUCUACAAUCAGCCACCCGCAUCCCCCGACCCCUUCUUCGCAUGUCAGCUGUUCCUUUGGAUGCCCGUACGUAUAUGGGCAUACAAGCUGGCAUGUCCCCAGUCUGGGUGCAGAGGCACACUGUGCAAGGCUGGGCUCUACAAGACCAUCCGGAGGGUCUUGGACAUCGACCGCUGGUAUCUCAUGGCCACUGAGUACCUGGAAUGCGGCCGGUGUAAGAAGAAGGUCGCGGGGAGGUCACGGGACCUUGUCAGUCAGCUGGACGCUCGGCAUCGCUGCCAGUUUCCAGCAAUAUUGACAUACAAGAUGCUGAGGUCGCGCACUUUGGGGACCAGUGAGUCACAGACCUACAGCAAGCUGUGUGAAAGUCACAGCGAGUCCUUGAUGCGUAGUUGUAUACGGUACCUCGGGGAGUGCAAGCAGUUUCUGGCAUUGGGCGGCAGUUCACUGAUCCACCGGAGAUGCCCCCGGUGCCCUCACCCGUCUGGCUUCUGACAGUCUACAGCCAUGACGUGCUAUCGCGGCUGGACGAGGUGAAGGCCAGGGUCACCUCCGUCUUUGGGUCCAUCUUAAAGAUGGACUCUACCAAGAAGGUGACUAAAAAGCUUGCGGGUACCGCUGCAGACACAGCCGCCUGGGUUACCAACGUCGGUAACGAGCAUGGGCAGGUCCUCGUCAGUGUCCUCACUGCCGGUGAGGGCGAGGGCCUGCUCCCCAUGGCGGCUGGUCUCAUGGAACGGUAGCGGCUCGCCGGGGUGGCGCCCCCCCCAGCUCAUGUACGUGGACCGAGACUGCUGCUCCAGCUUUGGCGGAUCAAAGACAGCUGCCAUGUACAAUGACUGGGACCAGCUGGUGGUUCGGCUGGACAUCUGACACCUGAUGCGGCGGUUCGCGUCAGGUGUCACCUCUGAGAGCCACCAGCUCUACGGUCCCUUCAUGCGGCAGCUGUCAGCCUGCAUCUUUGAGUGGGAUGCAGGCGAUGUCUGCCGACUGCUGGAGGCCAAGAGGUCUGAGCUGGAGGGGAAGCACGGGAUGGUCA
Non-coding RNA from Oncorhynchus mykiss (rainbow trout), 2150 nucleotides. Lineage: Eukaryota; Metazoa; Chordata; Actinopteri; Salmoniformes; Salmonidae. The record is from RefSeq and is a predicted model, not a curated record.